RNAcentral lists this ribosomal RNA (497 nucleotides) under uncultured bacterium. RNAcentral describes it as "bacterial SSU rRNA". It matches the Rfam family "Bacterial small subunit ribosomal RNA", at positions 903 to 1397 of the family's 1533-position model. The record is from RNAcentral.
AAAGGAAUAGACGGGGACCCGCACAAGCAGCGGAGCAUGUGGUUUAAUUCGAAGCAACGCGAAGAACCUUACCAGGACUUGACAUGGUAUUGACCGGUCUAGAGAUAGACUUUUCCCUUCGGGGACAAUACACACAGGUGGUGCAUGGUUGUCGUCAGCUCGUGUCGUGAGAUGUUGGGUUAAGUCCCGCAACGAGCGCAACCCCUAUUUUUAGUUACUAACAGGUAAUGCUGAGGACUCUAGAGAGACUGCCGAUGAUAAAUCGGAGGAAGGUGGGGAUGACGUCAAAUCAUCAUGCCCUUUAUGUCCUGGGCUACACACGUGCUACAAUGGUCGGUACAACGAGCAGCUACCUAGCGAUAGGAUGCAAAUCUCUAAAAGCCGAUCCCAGUUCGGAUUGUAGGCUGCAACUCGCCUACAUGAAGCCGGAGUUGCUAGUAAUCGCGGAUCAGAAUGUCGCGGUGAAUGCGUUCCCGGGUCUUGUACACACCGCCCGU